Heterocephalus glaber (naked mole-rat) is the source of this 685-nucleotide long non-coding RNA. The record is from Ensembl. Lineage: Eukaryota; Metazoa; Chordata; Mammalia; Rodentia; Bathyergidae.
GAACUUCUCGCGAGCUCCCACGAGAUGUGGACGACAUAAAGGAAGUCCGGACGCCCUGGGAACCUCGCUGUGGUGAAUUCCCAUAUCCUUCGUUGUGUUUCUCAGACGCAGCGUGUACUUUUAUUUUUGCUUUUAUCUUCUUUUUCUCCUGUUCUGCCCACGUUCUCUCUGUAGAGCAAGAAGGACCUGGACUACUUUGGAUUGGCGAACCAUUGCUAAAGGAACUACCAGACAACAGAGGCACUGAACAGAUACUAUUUGCCAGAAAGAUUUCACCUCUUUGAGUACUGAAGACUUUCGUUUCAUAAGAUUAAAUUUAAUGCCAGAAUUCUUUACUGGAACUGGAGGAAAAAGAGAUGCACAUCAGGAAACAGCUGAUAAUGUGAAUCUGGAGUAUGAUCCAACAAGAGCAAGGGUUUGCCUUUAACCAAGUCAGAAAGGACCCAGUCUUUGUGAACUCUGGGGAUCAAACUCAGGAUGUUGUGUUUGUCAGGCAGAUGCAGUGCCACUGAGCUACAUCCCCAGCCCCAAGAAUGGCUUUUCUCUAAGAAGAUGUACACUGAAGAUUUUAGGGAUAAAGGGACAUAUGAGUUAUGAUUGCAAAAUACAGUGAAUGUUUGAACUGAAAAAAUAAUUAUUACAGUAAAAAACACAUGGCCAUUAAUCUUCUCCAAAAUUCUCCCCC